CUAAGUACCGUAUCAAAGCGAGGUAACAACAUUACAGGUCGCGUGGCACCCUGUCAUGACGGAAGUAGGGAUGUGCCUGUCAUUCAAUUCGGUGUACGCGCAGUAUCAGUACAUGCUCUAUGAGACAGACUGGCAGCCGACUCAGCUGUUGAAAUGCCAUUAUCAUAGUGGCCAGUGUUACGUGAGAAUUGACUCUUCUAAUACCGUAAGAUAUUUUAUUCACUCGCCGUUUGAGAUAUCAACAGCCAUAUCGAAUCCAACUGGCGAAGUGUCGCCAGGUGAAGAGCUCAUUAUUGAUUUUAAGGCUGUAGAGAUUCAAGCAUCGUCGAGCGUGAAGUACCUGAGACCUGAGCAAAGAAGAUGUCGGUAUCCAGACGAGUGGAUACACGAGUCUAUAAAGGCGUACAGCUUUGCUCUCUGCCAGAUGCACUGCCGCAGUCAAAUGGCGGUCAUGUUCUGCGGCUGCAGACCUUUCUUCCACGUAAAAGGAGUUUUGCCGUUUGGACUUGAUGUCGGUUUAUUGGGCGUUUCGGCUUAUUAUAUGACAAAGUUAAGGAAACCAGAACAGUGUAAUGUAGUAAGUAUAUUCGGGCCGGAGCCUUGGAGCAAAGAGGCCGAGGAAAACCCAGAGAAAGUGGUGCGAUGCAUAGCACACAGAGGAGCUGGGUUGGACGCGCCCGAAAACACUUUGGAGGCGUUUAAAUAUUGUGUAGAAAGGGACUGUAAUUUUAUUGAGCUGGAUGUGCGCACAUCGCGAGAUGGUCGGCUGGUGCUACUUCACGACCAGGGCCUGGAGAGGCUGGCAGGUGCUGACAUCACCAAUGUACAUUUGAUGGACUGGGAGAAUAUUAAUACCAUUGAUAUAGGUGCUACACAUCCCAAUAGGCAUUUGUUCAAAGAAGUCCACUUGUGUUUGCUGGAUGAGGCUUUGGACUAUCUGCUGGAGAACAAGGUGCGCAUGAUCAUCGAUGUGAAGGGGGAGGACAGCCAGGUGGUCAGUGGCAUAUUGAAGGCAUAUUCCACGAGACCCACUCUCUAUCAGUAUGCAGCUGUGACGUGUUUCAACCCUUAUAUACUAUAUCAGAUACGUAAAAAAGACCCGGAGAUCGUGGGCGCCAUGAGCUACCGGCCGUAUGGGUUCAGCGCAGCUGAUUACGACGCAGAGAACGGACCCACCAAUCCACGGUUCAACGACAACGUGCCCCUGCACGCGGCGCUGCGCGUGUGCGACGCGCUGCACGCGCUGGUGUGGCGCUGGGCGGCGCGCUGGUGCAACGUCAGCGCCGUGCUCCUGCACAAGGACAUCGUCAGCCCGAGCGAGGUGCACUACUGGCGGCAGCUGGGCGUGCGGUGCGCGGGCUGGUGCGUGAACCGGCCGCUGGAGAAGCUGUACUGGCGCGGCGUGCUGCGCGCGCCCUACCUCGCCAACACGCUGCUCGGAGAGCCCGACAUCGAGAAGAAAUCUGAAGAGAAGCAACAGAAGGAUGAUGAGAGUCUAGACCGGGCCGGGCCGCUCGUCGACAAACUGUUGGAGCCGGAACGGAAGAUGUCCUCCGGGCAAAAUUAAAUUUCACCGUAAAACAUACUCUAAAGGCGCUUACUCACUACAAUAUUUAUGUCUAAAUCAAUAUUUAUAUGGAGACCCACCGUCGCCACUUCGACACCACAGCGAAACAAAAAACUAUAAAAGAUAUGGAAUGAAAUAAUUGUGC
This 1712-nucleotide unclassified non-coding RNA is filed under the name Manduca sexta (tobacco hornworm). RNAcentral describes it as "glycerophosphodiester phosphodiesterase 1, transcript variant X2". The record is from RNAcentral. Lineage: Eukaryota; Metazoa; Arthropoda; Insecta; Lepidoptera; Sphingidae.